GAACCUGAAACCGUGUACGUACAAGCAGUGGGAGCACCCUUUGGGUGUGACUGCGUACCUUUUGUAUAAUGGGUCAGCGACUUAUAUUCUGUAGCAAGGUUAACCGAAUAGGGGAGCCGGAGGGAAACCGAGUCUUAAUUGGGCGUUAAGUUGCAGGGUAUAGACCCGAAACCCGGUGAUCUAGCCAUGGGCAGGUUGAAGGUUGGGUAACACUAACUGGAGGACCGAACCGACUAAUGUUGAAAAAUUAGCGGAUGACCUGUGGCUGGGGGUGAAAGGCCAAUCAAACCGGGAGAUAGCUGGUUCUCCCCGAAAGCUAUUUAGGUAGCGCCUCGUGAAUUCAUCUCCGGGGGUAGAGCACUGUUUCGGCUAGGGGGCCAUCCCGGCUUACCAACCCGAUGCAAACUGCGAAUACCGGAGAAUGUUAUCACGGGAGACACACGGCGGGUGCUAACGUCCGUCGUGAAGAGGGAAACAACCCAGACCGCCAGCUAAGGUCCCAAAGUCAUGGUUAAGUGGGAAACGAUGUGGGAAGGCCCAGACAGCCAGGAUGUUGGCUUAGAAGCAGCCAUCAUUUAAAGAAAGCGUAAUAGCUCACUGGUCGAGUCGGCCUGCGCGGAAGAUGUAACGGGGCUAAACCAUGCACCGAAGCUGCGGCAGCGACACUGUGUGUUGUUGGGUAGGGGAGCGUUCUGUAAGCCUGUGAAGGUGUGUCGUGAGGCAUGCUGGAGGUAUCAGAAGUGCGAAUGCUGACAUAAGUAACGAUAAAGCGGGUGAAAAGCCCGCUCGCCGGAAGACCAAGGGUUCCUGUCCAACGUUAAUCGGGGCAGGGUGAGUCGACCCCUAAGGCGAGGCCGAAAGGCGUAGUCGAUGGGAAACGGGUUAAUAUUCCCGUACUUGGUGUUACUGCGAAGGGGGGACGGAGAAGGCUAUGUUGGCCGGGCGACGGUUGUCCCGGUUUAAGCGUGUAGGUGUGUGUUCCAGGUAAAUCCGGUUCACUUUAACACUGAGGCGUGACGACGAGGCACUACGGUGCUGAAGCAACAAAUGCCCUGCUUCCAGGAAAAGCCUCUAAGCAUCAGGUAACAUCAAAUCGUACCCCAAACCGACACAGGUGGUCAGGUAGAGAAUACCAAGGCGCUUGAGAGAACUCGGGUGAAGGAACUAGGCAAAAUGGUGCCGUAACUUCGGGAGAAGGCACGCUGACACGUAGGUGAAGUGAUUUACUCAUGGAGCUGAAGUCAGUCGAAGAUACCAGCUGGCUGCAACUGUUUAUUAAAAACACAGCACUGUGCAAACACGAAAGUGGACGUAUACGGUGUGACGCCUGCCCGGUGCCGGAAGGUUAAUUGAUGGGGUCAGCGCAAGCGAAGCUCCUGAUCGAAGCCCCGGUAAACGGCGGCCGUAACUAUAACGGUCCUAAGGUAGCGAAAUUCCUUGUCGGGUAAGUUCCGACCUGCACGAAUGGCGUAAUGAUGGCCAGGCUGUCUCCACCCGAGACUCAGUGAAAUUGAACUCGCUGUGAAGAUGCAGUGUACCCGCGGCAAGACGGAAAGACCCCGUGAACCUUUACUAUAGCUUGACACUGAACAUUGAGCCUUGAUGUGUAGGAUAGGUGGGAGGCUUUGAAGUGUGGACGCCAGUCUGCAUGGAGCCGACCUUGAAAUACCACCCUUUAAUGUUUGAUGUUCUAACGUGGACCCGUUACCCGGGUUGCGGACAGUGUCUGGUGGGUAGUUUGACUGGGGCGGUCUCCUCCUAAAGAGUAACGGAGGAGCACGAAGGUUGGCUAAUCCUGGUCGGACAUCAGGAGGUUAGUGCAAUGGCAUAAGCCAGCUUGACUGCGAGCGUGACGGCGCGAGCAGGUGCGAAAGCAGGUCAUAGUGAUCCGGUGGUUCUGAAUGGAAGGGCCAUCGCUCAACGGAUAAAAGGUACUCCGGGGAUAACAGGCUGAUACCGCCCAAGAGUUCAUAUCGACGGCGGUGUUUGGCACCUCGAUGUCGGCUCAUCACAUCCUGGGGCUGAAGUAGGUCCCAAGGGUAUGGCUGUUCGCCAUUUAAAGUGGUACGCGAGCUGGGUUUAGAACGUCGUGAGACAGUUCGGUCCCUAUCUGCCGUGGGCGCUGGAGAACUGAGGGGGGCUGCUCCUAGUACGAGAGGACCGGAGUGGACGCAUCACUGGUGUUCGGGUUGUCAUGCCAAUGGCACUGCCCGGUAGCUAAAUGCGGAAGAGAUAAGUGCUGAAAGCAUCUAAGCACGAAACUUGCCCCGA
This 2271-nucleotide ribosomal RNA is filed under the name Salmonella enterica subsp. enterica serovar Enteritidis. RNAcentral describes it as "partial 23S ribosomal RNA". It matches the Rfam family "Bacterial large subunit ribosomal RNA", at positions 546 to 2802 of the family's 2925-position model. The record is from RNAcentral. Lineage: Bacteria; Pseudomonadati; Pseudomonadota; Gammaproteobacteria; Enterobacterales; Enterobacteriaceae.